Molecule: transfer RNA, 68 nt
Filed under: Phasianella solida
Lineage: Eukaryota; Metazoa; Mollusca; Gastropoda; Trochida; Phasianellidae
Description: tRNA-Ile
Source: RNAcentral
GGCAAAGUGCCGGAUAAAACGGACCGCGAUGAUGCUGCGAAAUAUGGGAGAACGAUACCCCUUUGCUU